GUGGUGGUUCAGUGGUGGAAUUUCUUACCUUCUAUGUAGGAGACCCAGGUUCAAUUCCUGGCCAACACA
RNAcentral lists this transfer RNA (69 nucleotides) under Loxodonta africana (African savanna elephant). It matches the Rfam family "tRNA". From Rfam's summary of the family: Transfer RNA (tRNA) molecules are approximately 80 nucleotides in length. Their secondary structure includes four short double-helical elements and three loops (D, anti-codon, and T loops). Further hydrogen bonds mediate the characteristic L-shaped molecular structure. tRNAs have two regions of fundamental functional importance: the anti-codon, which is responsible for specific mRNA codon recognition, and the 3' end, to which the tRNAs corresponding amino acid is attached (by aminoacyl-tRNA synthetases). tRNAs cope with the degeneracy of the genetic code in two manners: having more than one tRNA (with a specific anti-codon) for a particular amino acid; and 'wobble' base-pairing, i.e. permitting non-standard base-pairing at the 3rd anti-codon position. The record is from Rfam by way of RNAcentral. Lineage: Eukaryota; Metazoa; Chordata; Mammalia; Proboscidea; Elephantidae.